UCCCUGAUAGCUUAGCUGGUAAAGAAUCUGCCUGCAAUGUGGGAGACCCAGGUUCGAUCCCUGGGUUGGGAA
This 72-nucleotide transfer RNA is filed under the name Bos taurus (domestic cattle). It matches the Rfam family "tRNA". Rfam says of the family: Transfer RNA (tRNA) molecules are approximately 80 nucleotides in length. Their secondary structure includes four short double-helical elements and three loops (D, anti-codon, and T loops). RNAcentral also lists the same sequence under 4 other names. Lineage: Eukaryota; Metazoa; Chordata; Mammalia; Artiodactyla; Bovidae. The record is from Rfam by way of RNAcentral.